GACGAACCGUGCGAACGUUGUUCGGAAUCAUUGGGCUUAAAGGGCGCGUAGGCGGGCCGCCGAGUCCGGGGUGAAAUCCCCCGGCUCAACUGGAGAACGGCCCUGGAUACUGGAGGUCUCGAGGGGGGUAGGGGCACGCGGAACUGCGGGUGUAGCGGUGAAAUGCGUUGAUAUCCACAGGAACUCCGGUGGCGAAGGCGGCGUGCUGGACCGUUUCUGACGCUGAGGCGCGAAAGCCAGGGGAGCAAACGGG
RNAcentral lists this ribosomal RNA (253 nucleotides) under uncultured bacterium. RNAcentral's name for it is "partial 16S ribosomal RNA". It matches the Rfam family "Bacterial small subunit ribosomal RNA", at positions 524 to 776 of the family's 1533-position model. The record is from RNAcentral.